GAUGAAGAACGUAGCGAAAUGCGAUAAGUAGUGUGAAUUGCAGAAUUCAGUGAAUCAUCGAAUCUUUGAACGCACAUUGCGCCUUCUAGUAUUCUGGGAGGCAUGCCUGUUUGAGCGUCAUUAAACCUCUCUCAAGUAUGAUUACUUGGAUGUGAAGGAAGAGUACCUUAAACUUAAGGAGUGUUCUCCUUUGAAAUUGAUUAGCAGAUGGUAAUGUUAUUAAAUCCCUGAUGUUGUAAGAAAUAACAGUGGUUUUGUAGACUAUUAUCUAGCUUUAAAUUAUAAUUUUUAUUAUGGUUGACCUCAAAUCAGGUAAGGAUACCCGCUGAACUUAAGCAUAUCAUAGCGGAGGA
This 353-nucleotide unclassified non-coding RNA is filed under the name soil metagenome. Its description in RNAcentral is "partial contains 5.8S ribosomal RNA, internal transcribed spacer 2, and large subunit ribosomal RNA". The stretch from base 1 to 120 matches the Rfam family "5.8S ribosomal RNA", at positions 35 to 154 of the family's 154-position model. The record is from RNAcentral.